AGAUCAGGGAGCAGGGGCGGCUCUGGACACCUGACCUGGAUGAGGACCAGUGUCUGGCCUCCUUUGAUUUCUGCUGCUGACUUAUAGAUGCAGACUUCCAGCCAACUCUGGCUCCAGUGUUUUACUUCAUCAUUUCUCAUGAAUCUAAAACAUUCACUGAGCUCCUACUAUGCACCAGGCACUGUUCUUGGCACUUGUCAGAAGGAGCAGGGAAAUUCGUCAAAAUGAAAAAUGAAAAUCAAACCAAACUGGCACUCAAGAAGGUUAUAACUCAAUGAUAUUUUAAAUGGCUCUUUGCCAUAGUACUUGGUGGUCUCCUAACAGGGAUUUGACAUUCUGUUGAACAUGUAUAGUCCUUAUUCAUACAGUCUGUGCCAUUUCACAUCUCCAGUUCCAUUUGAAGCACUAGCUUCGAGGCAAGGACUACUUUAUGCCCAUUCAUCAUUGUAUGUAUUCACUCCUUCUGCUCACUCUGCUUUCAUAUUCCUCUCAUCCAAGUUCUUAGUGCUAAAAAAAUACCCAGGCGCUGUACCCAUAGAAAACAAUUGCAAACACUCAAAUAAAUUAGGAGAAGAUUUUCCCAACCCUGACAGCCAGGUAGUUCAUAACCAUUUACUUAUUGAUCUAACAAAUAUUUAUUGAGUGCCAACUAUAUGCUAGAUACAAUGCUAGCAUUUAUUGUACUAGAUCCUGGGAAACUGAUUAUACAUAAGAGAGGGAAUAUUCAUGGUUUCGUAGAGUUUAGAUUCCAUUGGGACAAGAUAAUAAUCAAGAAACAUGCAGCUUCUAGUACUGCCAAGUGACAUUGAGAACAUAACACAGGUUAAUCAUGAUGGACAGUGGUAAGAACAAGGACCAACAUUCAUAAAUUCUCAUGUAAGGACUCCAAAAGGUGACAUUUUAUUUGGGACCUGAAAAAUCAAAAGAAUAACGUUAGUAAAGUACCUGGGGGAGAUUCCAGAUAGAGCAAGUGAGAAAGCCUUGAUGUGAGAACAAGUAUGGUAUAUUGCUUGUAUGCAGGAAAAAGAAGAAGGCACGUGUACAGUGAGCAAGAUGGGGAGUGUGUGAGAUGAGGACAGAGCAUAGGCAGAGCUUUGCAGUCAGGAUGAGGAGUUUGGAAUUUAUUCUGGGUAUAACUGGAAACCAUCGGAGGGCUUUGAUCAAGGGCGUGAGCUGAGCUCCUCCAUAGACAUUUUAAGGGACUGCUGUGUAAAGAAUGAAUAAAGGGGAAUUCUAGAAGUAGAAUCAGAGAAACUGGUUAGUAGCAGCAACAGCAGUCCAAGUGAGGGAGAGCAUAUGGCUUGGUCUAGGGUGAUUUCAGUAAACAGAAAGGGGCCUGGACUCAGGACCUGUGAGAAGACGCUGUCAGAGGAAUGUCUUCCACUUUUUCUCAGACUCAUCCUGGAGCUGACACAGAUGCCGGUCCCUGAGGCAGGGAGGAAAGGGACCACAGUGCACUUCCUGAAGUCCAAACAAGCUUGCCGGUGCGUGCUGUUCUGACAGGCUGCUGGAGGGGCAGGCAAGGCUGACGCAGGAAAGGAUAGAACAUACUUACCUUCUGAGUCUGAAUGCCGCCCCUCCCCCACCGUAGCCAUGUUUCUAGAGUUUGCCCGAGGACUUCUUGUUGCACCUCACCUCCUUCUUCCUCACUGGAGUUCUGUGCAUUCUGGGUUGCACUCACUGACAUGGGAGUAUCUUCUUGUUCAGAAGAUUAAAACUGCAGGGCAUCAAAUUCUGUUUACUUGCAUAUUUGCCGCUUUCCCUUCCCUCCUGCCCUCAUGGAAGGGUGCUCCCUCCUCCUGUCUCCAUCCGAGCUCCGGGCCCUCACCUCACACCAUCUCUGGGGGUUUGAUUGACUGUGCUUUCCUCACCUGUGUGUGCAUCCACCCUCUCUCCUGCCUCAUUCUCAGCAGCACCUAAAAGCGGC
This 1927-nucleotide long non-coding RNA is filed under the name Equus caballus (horse). Its description in RNAcentral is "lncRNA (ENSECAG00000056290.1)". The record is from RNAcentral. Lineage: Eukaryota; Metazoa; Chordata; Mammalia; Perissodactyla; Equidae.